CCUGAAGGGGUCUCUUCUCACUCUCAGUUCAUCUCUCUGGUUUGCACUGAUGCACCCACCCAGCUGGGCACUCCGUGGUGGACGGAACUGAGGAAGAUCUUUUGCUGUUGCACCCUGGUUCCGCUUGUUUUUGUGACUGUAAUCUUUCCACUUUGAAGAGGGUUCCCCUUCUGCCCUGUUUCCUCGGCAUCCCUUUCUGUACCGCUUUUUCACUUAGCCAUACCUAAGCCGUCAUUAGAUGAAUACAUGAGUGACUCUGAGCCUUUAAAAACUAACAAAGUAGUGUUCAUUAAGAUAAAGCCAGGCAGUCAGGCUUUCUUGUCGCUCACACGGGCUCGUCUUUCCUUUCUUGCCUGAAAUACUGCCUCCUCUGGUGUCGAUUCCCACUGACUGGUUUGCACUAUAGUCUGAGACAAUGCCCACUUUAAUGGAGCCAGAAGCCACACUUAACAUCAGGCCUUUUGGGGGUCCCGUGGUCCCCUGACUGGCUGGGGGCUGAGUGGGUAUUGUAAGCACCUCUGAAGUGAGGGGCUGAGCUGCUCAUUAGGUCCCCAGUAGCUCCCUGAAACACACCGCUGUCCCCUGUCCCUAACCCUAACGCUUGCAGUCUCUGCUUCUCUUGCUGUGUUUUCCUCCUCUGAGCUCUUGGGUUUCAUUCCCCCGAUUCUCUUACUUCAUCCAAGGUCCUCUGCUGACCCUUCCUCCUUCAUGCUGUGACAGCAUGGACUCCUCGCCUGUGUUCCCCAGGAACCAUGUGCUCCCCAGGGCCAUCUCGGAAGUCACUACCCAGCUGGCAGACCAGCCACCGCUGCUCGUUUCCGGGAAGAAAAGGUCACUGCAACAAAUUAUCACAUGCUUGGCGGCUUGAUGGUCAGCAGGGCAGUGCUCCUUAUAAAGUCCCUAAAAUGGAGUCAUUCUUGAUGUCUUCUAGGUUCUGGUGGCUCCAGGUAUCACUCUCAACUCAUCUGACUCUAAUCUCUGUGCUGUUGUGUGCUCUGGCUUUCUAAUAUGGGAAGUGUGGAGAAGGCCUCCUACUGGAUAAAUUGUAAGGAUAAAAUGAGCAACUCAAAGAGAAGAUGAAGCGUAGUGUCUGCCUGGCACACUGUGGGCUCAGUAAAUAAUACCUGCUAUUUCCACAACCAGAUGCUCUCCAGUGCUCAAGAAACAAGAAAAAAAGUUGGAUAGCAAGGGCAAAAGCGUCUGGACCAGGACUUGGCAAACUACAGACAUGGACUGGCUACUAAUUUUUUUGUUUGUUAAUAACUACAAAUGUACAUCCAUUCUCUAUACAUAUUGUUUACAUAUUGUCUAUAGCUACAUUUGUGCUAUGAUGGAAUAGCUGAGUAGUGAGGGACUGAUACCAUAUGGACAACACAAACCCCCAAAUAUUUACUUGGUCUAGAGAAACAGUCAGAUGAGCCAAAUGUUGGCCAAAGGUUCCCAGCUUACAACUCCAGGAGGGGUGGGUUGGCUUUGGCUGUUGUCAGGCACUGAGCAUGAAAAAGAGGAAGAGAAACACUCUACAGGCCAGUAAACCAAGACUUCUGCCCACCUUGGUUUGGUACACCACAGUUAGUAAAAUUAGGUCUGAAUAUAAUAUAUCUAACCUUGAUUUCAAAAGCAUUUCUGUACCGAAUAAUGAAUUUCAUUUCUCAAAACCUUUAAUGCAAAUGUUGGAGGGUACCAACAUACUAUUGUUAAGCUUAUGUCUGCAAAAUUCUACAGUGCUCAAAAUUGAGUGUUGUAACUAUGAAUGUGGUCCUAGUUCAAGGAAAACUCGUUGUUCUAAUUGCUUUCCAAUCUUUGAAACUAAUGUCAAGAUUUACUAGAAAUUUGUUGUUUAAGGCACCAGACACAUAACUUAGCUGAGCCUCCCAGAGCCAACAUGCUGUACCCAUUCAGUAAAACAUGUCAUUAAUUAUCUGACUGUUGCAUCCAGAUUAAUGGGACACUUUUAACAGUGGUAGGAACUGUUAAUAAUAAUUUGAAGUCAGAGAUGGGCUUUGGGUUAUUCCAGUUUGGUCAGGAGUUCAGGUUAUAAUAAAUAAAACAUUAAAAGACUAGAAACAAUUAAGAUUAGCAUCUCACUAGCUCCAAGUUUAGCACCAUGCACAAACACAAGUCUUCAGUGACACUGGGUGGCAUGAUUAAAGUGUCAUUAAGGAUGGACCUUAUUAUUUAGUUACAAUAAAUGUGUCCUCGUUUCUCAUUGUUUAAAUAUUGGUAUAGCAUAAACAAUAAAAGUUACUACAGAUUCUGCCUGCAAAUGUAUGUUAGUGAGUGUGCUAAGGGGUAGCAGAGAAGUCAUACGAGGCACAGGUUCUUCUAUUGGCUAUAGUCGAUGGCCAGAUUCAAGGAGCUGAAACCCAGUUCUCUGAUCAUAAUUUUCCUUUUCUAGAAAAAUUGGCAAAGUGUAGCUGGAAGUUUUUCAGUCCUGCCUGGCCCCGCGGUCUGCAGC
Peromyscus leucopus (white-footed mouse) is the source of this 2458-nucleotide long non-coding RNA. RefSeq lists it as uncharacterized. The record is from RefSeq and is a predicted model, not a curated record. The transcript has 4 exons. NCBI's taxonomy places the organism in Eukaryota, Metazoa, Chordata, Mammalia, Rodentia, Cricetidae.